AGCGAACGCUGGCGGCAGGCCUAACACAUGCAAGUCGAACGAACCUUUCGGGGUUAGUGGCGGACGGGUGCGUAACACGUGGGAACGUGCCUUUAGGUUCGGAAUAACUCAGGGAAACUUGUGCUAAUACCGAAUGUGCCCUUCGGGGGAAAGAUUUAUCGCUUUUAGAGCGGCCCGCGUCUGAUUAGCUAGUUGGUUGAGGUAAUGGCUCACCAAGGCGACGAUCAGUAGCUGGUCGGAGAGGAUGAUCAGCCACAUUGGGACUGAGACACGGCCCAAACUCCUACGGGAGGCAGCGGUGUGGAAUCUAGCGCAAUGAGCGAAAGCCUGACACAGCCAUGGCGCGUGAAUGAUGAAGGUGUUAGGAUUGUAAAAUUCUUUCACCGGGGACGAUAAUGACGGUACCCGGAGAAGAAGCCCCGGCUAACUUCGUG
This 434-nucleotide ribosomal RNA is filed under the name uncultured bacterium. RNAcentral's name for it is "partial 16S ribosomal RNA". It matches the Rfam family "Bacterial small subunit ribosomal RNA", at positions 29 to 507 of the family's 1533-position model. The record is from RNAcentral.